This 743-nucleotide ribosomal RNA is filed under the name Vibrio parahaemolyticus K5030. RNAcentral's name for it is "bacterial SSU rRNA". It matches the Rfam family "Bacterial small subunit ribosomal RNA", at positions 777 to 1520 of the family's 1533-position model. The record is from RNAcentral. Lineage: Bacteria; Pseudomonadati; Pseudomonadota; Gammaproteobacteria; Vibrionales; Vibrionaceae.
AUUAGAUACCCUGGUAGUCCCGCCGUAAACGAUGUCUACUUGGAGGUUGUGGCCUUGAGCCGUGGCUUUCGGAGCUAACGCGUUAAGUAGACCGCCUGGGGAGUACGGUCGCAAGAUUAAAACUCAAAUGAAUUGACGGGGGCCCGCACAAGCGGUGGAGCAUGUGGUUUAAUUCGAUGCAACGCGAAGAACCUUACCUACUCUUGACAUCCAGAGAACUUUCCAGAGAUGGAUUGGUGCCUUCGGGAACUCUGAGACAGGUGCUGCAUGGCUGUCGUCAGCUCGUGUUGUGAAAUGUUGGGUUAAGUCCCGCAACGAGCGCAACCCUUAUCCUUGUUUGCCAGCGAGUAAUGUCGGGAACUCCAGGGAGACUGCCGGUGAUAAACCGGAGGAAGGUGGGGACGACGUCAAGUCAUCAUGGCCCUUACGAGUAGGGCUACACACGUGCUACAAUGGCGCAUACAGAGGGCAGCCAACUUGCGAAAGUGAGCGAAUCCCAAAAAGUGCGUCGUAGUCCGGAUUGGAGUCUGCAACUCGACUCCAUGAAGUCGGAAUCGCUAGUAAUCGUGGAUCAGAAUGCCACGGUGAAUACGUUCCCGGGCCUUGUACACACCGCCCGUCACACCAUGGGAGUGGGCUGCAAAAGAAGUAGGUAGUUUAACCUUCGGGGGGACGCUUACCACUUUGUGGUUCAUGACUGGGGUGAAGUCGUAACAAGGUAGCGCUAGGGGAACCUGGCGCUG